UACGGAGGGUGCAAGCGUUGCUCGGAAUCACUGGGCGUAAAGCGGGCGCAGGCGGUCCAGCAAGUCGGGUGUGAAAGCCCGGGGCUCAACCCCGGAAAUGCAUUCGAAACUGCCGGACUAGAGUACGGGAGAGGGGAGCGGAAUUCCUGGUGUAGAGGUGAAAUUCGUAGAUAUCAGGAGGAACACCGGUGGCGAAAGAGGCUCCCGGGUCCGAUACUGACCCUCAUGCCCGAAAGCGUGGGUAGCAAACAGG
This 253-nucleotide ribosomal RNA is filed under the name uncultured bacterium. Its description in RNAcentral is "partial 16S ribosomal RNA". It matches the Rfam family "Bacterial small subunit ribosomal RNA", at positions 524 to 776 of the family's 1533-position model. The record is from RNAcentral.